AACGUUGUUGCAGUUAAAAAGCUCGUAGUUGAAGUGAGGGAGUGUGUGUUCGUGAGAACUAGUCUCGAGGGUUCGCAACCUCCCCCCUCCAAUCGGUGUAGUGGGGUAUUCAGUUAUUUCACUACUCCUUUGGUCGUUUACUGUGAGAAAAUUAGAGUGUUCAAAGCGGGCGUUUGUUUGAAUAGAUUAGCAUGGAAUAAUGAUUGAAGGCUUUCGUGUUCGAUUUGAUUGGUUUGUUCAUGGAAGCAAGGUUAAAAGGAACAGUUGGGGGUAUUCAUAUUCACUAGUUAGAGGUGAAAUUCUCGGAUUUAUGGAAGAUGAA
RNAcentral lists this ribosomal RNA (322 nucleotides) under Blastocystis sp. Its description in RNAcentral is "SSU rRNA". It matches the Rfam family "Eukaryotic small subunit ribosomal RNA", at positions 606 to 939 of the family's 1831-position model. Lineage: Eukaryota; Bigyra; Opalinata; Blastocystidae. The record is from RNAcentral.